Molecule: ribosomal RNA, 467 nt
Filed under: uncultured bacterium
Lineage: Bacteria
Description: partial 16S ribosomal RNA
Rfam family: Bacterial small subunit ribosomal RNA
Source: RNAcentral
GACGAACGCUGGCGGCGUGCUUAACACAUGCAAGUCGAACGGAAAGGCCUCUUUCGGGGGGUACUCGAGUGGCGAACGGGUGAGUAACACGUGGGUAACCUGCCCUUGACUUUGGGAUAACUUCAGGAAACUGGGGCUAAUACCGGAUAGGAGCUCCUGCUGCAUGGUGGGGGUUGGAAAGUUUCGGCGGUUGGGGAUGGACUCGCGGCUUAUCAGCUUGUUGGUGGGGUAGUGGCUUACCAAGGCUUUGACGGGUAGCCGGCCUGAGAGGGUGACCGGCCACAUUGGGACUGAGAUACGGCCCAGACUCCUACGGGAGGCAGCAGUGGGGAAUAUUGCACAAUGGGUGGAAGCCUGAUGCAGCAACGCCGUGUGCGGGAUGACGGCCUUCGGGUUGUAAACCGCUUUCGCUCAUGACGAAGCUUUGUGUGACGGCAGUGGGUAAAGAAGCACCGGCUAACUACGUG